Molecule: ribosomal RNA, 429 nt
Filed under: Gemmatimonadota bacterium
Lineage: Bacteria; Pseudomonadati; Gemmatimonadota
Description: Gemmatimonadetes bacterium partial 16S ribosomal RNA
Rfam family: Bacterial small subunit ribosomal RNA
Source: RNAcentral
UAGGGAAUCUUCGGCAAUGGACGAAAGUCUGACCGAGCAACGCCGCGUGAGUGAAGAAGGUUUUCGGAUCGUAAAACUCUGUUGUUAGAGAAGAACAAGGACGUUAGUAACUGAACGUCCCCUGACGGUAUCUAACCAGAAAGCCACGGCUAACUACGUGCCAGCAGCCGCGGUAAUACGUAGGUGGCAAGCGUUGUCCGGAUUUAUUGGGCGUAAAGCGAUCGCAGGCGGUUUCUUAAGUCUGAUGUGAAAGCCCCCGGCUCAACCGGGGAGGGUCAUUGGAAACUGGGGGACUUGAGUGCAAGAGAGGGGAGUGGAAUUCCAGGUGUAGCGGUGGAAUGCGUAGAUAUAUGGAGGAACACCAGUGGCGAAGGCGGCUCUCUGGUCUGUAACUGACGCUGAGGAUCGAAGGCGUGGGGAGCAAACAGA